Non-coding RNA from Vicia faba (fava bean), 282 nucleotides. The record is from the annotation of a GenBank genome assembly. NCBI's taxonomy places the organism in Eukaryota, Viridiplantae, Streptophyta, Magnoliopsida, Fabales, Fabaceae.
AUGAAUCACAACUUAGAAAAGCCAGAAAGUGGAGAAGGAAAUAAUAGCACAAAAAUAAAUCAGAGGAGAAGUCUACAGAUCCGAGCUCACAACAGUCGACAUCCAGCUUCCCCCAGCACAACCUGCCGAUCCAUCCAUUCACGACGCACGCUCCAAGUCGUACCACCCAGCUGCCACAACCGACGCCGAAGACACACUCACAACUCCGGCGAACAACCUGUUUCCAACCACCCCAGAACUCACGCGGUAUACCUUAUUUCUUUUGUGAUUUUAUUUGAUUGA